GGAAACCUGAACAUGUGACAUAGAACUGUAUAGAUGAGAGGUGGAAGUGGUUCGAGAUACCCUUCUUCAUUAUUUUUUGUUGUAUCAAUCAAAUUAUACUAUUAAACUAAAUAAAUAAUUUUAUAAAUAUAGAAUUGUCUUGGAGCACUUGAUGGGACAUACAUAAAGGUCAAUGUAAAGGAGGAUUACAAGCCUAGAUAUCGAAGCC
Molecule: long non-coding RNA, 208 nt
Filed under: Elaeis guineensis (African oil palm)
Lineage: Eukaryota; Viridiplantae; Streptophyta; Magnoliopsida; Arecales; Arecaceae
Description: long non-coding RNA (EGUI_LNC026264)
Source: RNAcentral